This 231-nucleotide ribosomal RNA is filed under the name uncultured bacterium. RNAcentral's name for it is "partial 16S ribosomal RNA". It matches the Rfam family "Bacterial small subunit ribosomal RNA", at positions 104 to 334 of the family's 1533-position model. The record is from RNAcentral.
CGGGGUGAGUAACGCGUGGGUAACCUGCCUCACACAGGGGAUAACAGUUAGAAAUGACUGCUAAUACCGCAUAACCCGAUAGGAUCGCAUGAUCCAGACGGAAAAGAUUUAUCGGUGUGAGAUGGACCCGCGUCUGAUUAGCUAGUUGGUGAGGUAACGGCCCACCAAGGCGACGAUCAGUAGCCGGCCUGAGAGGGUGAACGGCCACAUUGGGACUGAGACACGGCCCAA